This 203-nucleotide unclassified non-coding RNA is filed under the name uncultured Coprinopsis. Its description in RNAcentral is "sequence contains ITS2". Lineage: Eukaryota; Fungi; Basidiomycota; Agaricomycetes; Agaricales; Psathyrellaceae. The record is from RNAcentral.
AAUUCUCAACCUUACCCGUCUUGUCACGGGCUUAAGGCUUGGAUGUGGGGGCUUGCAGGUCCGCCUUUACAGGGUGGUCUGCUCCUCUGAAAUGCAUUAGUGGGUUUGUGCCCCUCAUCUAUUGGUGUGAUAAUUAUCUACGCCGCUGGGUGAUGCAUCAACGAAACCUGCUCAUAACCGUCCGUCUCGGACAACUUUGACCA